AUUUUAUUUAUUUUUUUCUCUCUCACGACGCCCUCCCUCCUCAUCUAAUCUUCUCAUGAACGCCUCUCCAUCCUCAUCUCAUCUUCAUGAACGCUUUUCUUCUCAUCAUCUUCUGUAGCUUUCUCUCAUGGUUUAACCUUUCUCUCUUGCCAAACCUCUCUCACGCUUCCUCCUCUCUCUUGCUUGCCUUCAGGUCCCCACCGGAUUCUCUCUCCCGCGUCUCUCUCUUUCUCGCCGGACCUCUCUCACGAGGAUGGAGAAGAAGCUUACGGAGGAGGAUGUAGACGAACAAUGAUUUUUUUUUUGCUCACUUCCCAUCUCUGUUUUUUUUCUUCUGUUUAAUCAAAAUAUCGUUGUUUUUUUUCUUCUGUGUAGGUGAAGAGAAAGAUAGAUUUGGUUUAUGGUGGAGGAAGUGUCUCUCUCGAAAAGCAUGACCAAAUUGUUUCUGGAAUAGAUCGGAGGAGCUCAAAGUCCACUCGCUUAUGGCCAUGGGGGUUUCAUUCACCUCAGCCACUUAUCCCUUCCUCCUCCAUUGCCGUAAAGCCCUUCAAAGGACGCUAUUGAUGAGAGAGAGAUACUGAUAUUACUAAACAGACUAGUCUCUGGUUCUUUAAGCUCUUGUACGGUUCUAAAAGAACUAACAAACAGCAGAGACAUGGCGAGUCUAAUGGUUGAUGCUGCCACAAGAUUGUCCCAUAAAAGAAACUUACUUGGACAGCCUGAAAGCAGGGUUGAGAGCAGAGCCAAGGCAACUGAGUGUGGUGGGUGCAGUUAGAGUUGCGGUCAGAAGCUCUUUCAUUCUGACUUGCUGAUAAUACUAUAUAAUGUGAAAAAUGUUAUAAAUCAUUGUACAUGAGCAUAAAGCUUUUGUUGAGCUGAUUAUUAAACAUGGUGUGUGGGAUGUAGAUACAACUUGAUGUUGAGAGGUUAAAGAAGUGAAAUCAAAUGAUAAUUUAACUUUGUUUAUGGUCAAA
Molecule: long non-coding RNA, 974 nt
Organism: Raphanus sativus (radish)
Lineage: Eukaryota; Viridiplantae; Streptophyta; Magnoliopsida; Brassicales; Brassicaceae
Exons: 4
Source: RefSeq, a predicted model, not a curated record